CAAGUCGAACGGAAAGGCUCCUUGCUUGCAAGGGGUACUCGAGUGGCGAACGGGUGAGUAACACGUGGGUGAUCUGCCCUGCACUUCGGGAUAAGCCUGGGAAACUGGGUCUAAUACCGGAUAGGACCAUGCUUUAGUGUGUGUGGUGGAAAGUUUUUUCGGUGCAAGAUGAGCCCGCGGCCUAUCAGCUUGUUGGUGGGGUAAUGGCCUACCAAGGCGACGACGGGUAGCCGGCCUGAGAGGGUGUACGGCCACAUUGGGACUGAGACACGGCCCAGACUCCUACGGGAGGCAGCAGUGGGGAAUAUUGCACAAUGGGCGCAAGCCUGAUGCAGCGACGUCGCGUGGGGGAUGAAGGCCUUCGGGUUGUAAACUCCUUUCGCUAGGGAAGAAGCCACUUGUGGUGACGGUACCUGGAUAAGAAGCACCGGCUAACUACGUACCAGCAGCCGCGGUAAUACGUAGGGUGCGAGCGUUGUCCGGAAUUACUGGGCGUAAAGAGCUCGUAGGUGGUUUGUCGCGUCGUCUGUGAAAUCCCGGGGCUUAACUUCGGGCGUGCAGGCGAUACGGGCAUAACUAGAGUGCUGUAGGGGAGACUGGAAUUCCUGGUGUAGCGGUGAAAUGCGCAGAUAUCAGGAGGAACACCGAUGGCGAAGGCAGGUCUCUGGGCAGUUACUGACGCUGAGGAGCGAAAGCAUGGGU
This 702-nucleotide ribosomal RNA is filed under the name uncultured Actinomycetales bacterium. RNAcentral's name for it is "bacterial SSU rRNA". It matches the Rfam family "Bacterial small subunit ribosomal RNA", at positions 58 to 766 of the family's 1533-position model. Lineage: Bacteria; Bacillati; Actinomycetota; Actinomycetes; Actinomycetales. The record is from RNAcentral.